GGCCAGGUAGCUCAGUCGGUAGAGCAGGGGACUGAAAAUCCCUGUGUCGGUGGUUCAAUUCCACCCCUGGCCACCA
RNAcentral lists this transfer RNA (76 nucleotides) under Gammaproteobacteria bacterium. RNAcentral describes it as "tRNA-Phe". It matches the Rfam family "tRNA". Rfam says of the family: Transfer RNA (tRNA) molecules are approximately 80 nucleotides in length. The record is from RNAcentral. Lineage: Bacteria; Pseudomonadati; Pseudomonadota; Gammaproteobacteria. RNAcentral also lists the same sequence under 3 other names.